This is a non-coding RNA of Homo sapiens (human), 117 nucleotides long. It matches the Rfam family "Metazoan signal recognition particle RNA". From Rfam's summary of the family: The signal recognition particle (SRP) is a universally conserved ribonucleoprotein. It is involved in the co-translational targeting of proteins to membranes. The record is from Rfam. Lineage: Eukaryota; Metazoa; Chordata; Mammalia; Primates; Hominidae.
GCCAGGUGUGGUGGCUCACACCUGUAAUCCCAGCACUUUGGGAGGCUGAGGCGGGUGGAUCACCUGAGGUCAGGAGUUCGAGACCAGCCUGACCAACAUGGUGAAACCCCUUCUCUA